This 2492-nucleotide unclassified non-coding RNA is filed under the name Daphnia pulicaria. RNAcentral's name for it is "uncharacterized LOC124349827, transcript variant X4". Lineage: Eukaryota; Metazoa; Arthropoda; Branchiopoda; Diplostraca; Daphniidae. The record is from RNAcentral.
UUUUUAUAUGAAAAACUAUUCUCAGAUGGUUCCCACCAAUUUUCAAAACGAUACGACGCACCAAACAAAAGUUGCAGCAAAAAACGGUGCAGUCCAACUUUUUCUGGCAUCACUGGACUUUUUGUUUGAUGACUAGUGUAGUAGUGUUUCAAAGUGUUCACUGUUCAGACCUUCCAGUGUAUGUGUCGACCAAUGUCGCGAUAAGAAACAGUUGAUUUAAGUUCUUCUGUAUUCAAACUUAAAUCCUUUGUGACAGACGUCUUCUUAGUAAUAAAGUAUUAAAUAAAGAGAGGAUGAAAUGUUCUCAAUCAGUUGAAAGAGUCUGUGCUGCCAUGCAGCCAUCAUUCCUGGGGCUGAAAUCUACAAGAUGAAAUGGUCUCAAAUCAGUAGAAAGAGUCUGUGCCGCCAUCCUGCCAUCAUUACUGAGGCUGAAAUCUGCAGGGUUUAGCUUUGCCCUACAACUUAAAAAUGAUUCCAUUUUAUUUGGAACGUUCAGACUUCAAUUGCUGGUAUACCCUCACUCACACACAAGAUAAUCAAGUUCUCCGGGACCCGCCCACGUCAAAGGAGAUCCUCAAUAUUUCUGUGACAACAGGAUCCCUUGAGAUUCCAUCCUUUUCUCAGCAUACGACCGGAAUGGAUAUCCUUUGCCAGCUUAUGGGGUCGUGAGGGCCUCACUUGCUCCCCCAUCACGCCACUCAUCUGGGAAAUGAACAACAGCAGCCAUCAACCCCAUCCAGACAACGUUGUUCUCGACAAGGACGGACACGUGUACAACCCCAUCGAUCUCGACGACAACUUCCUCAUCGUCACGAAAUUCGUCUGCUGCUCCAUCGGCAUACCUCUCAACGUGACGAUAGCGUUCACCAUUAUCCACCGCCGGCGCUUGCACAGGAAACCGCGCAACAUUUUCCUGCUGGGCAUCAUCUUCUCCUACUUGACGUUUUUCGUUCCGUCCGUCAUCAAAUUGAUUUACUGGGGACUCUAUCCCAUCGAAUCGGUUUGCCACGGUUACGUCGCCGUCGUCGGCGUCCCGCAGGGUCUCGUUUUAUUGAACAUGAUCCUGGCCCUGAUUGACAGCCAGGAUUAUCGCUCCUCUCCGCUGCGAGGUCUGCCUCCUCCACGUCAAAAUCGUUUUGAUCAUCUUGUCCGUCUUGUCCGUCGCCUGCACCGUCAUGAAUUUCAUCGUCUACCAGCAAACGAAAGCUCUGCUCGCCGAAUCUCGCCGGCUCACCUCGGCGACGACCAACAAAACGAUUGACAACGACGUCCAGGCGGAAUGGGUCGAAUUGGGGAUCGCCGGAAUCGAAUCGCAGAACUUUAGGGCCUCGUCCGGAAGUAGUUCGUUGAACGAUCAUUCCUCCCAGGUCAAGUCCAUGUCCAUCCACGUGGAUAAGACGAGAAUCAGUCAGAUCGAACUGGAGGCCACUCGCACUCUGAUUACCGGAGUCACGUCGCUCAUUGUUACGGCUUUACCUCCGACCGUAUUCGUGUCGGUUUUCCUGGGCUGCCAGCUCGUCCUUGGCGGAAUGGAGUGCAGCAGUCUCAAUUGGUUGUCGCCCUACAUGAUCGAAUUGGGAGUGAUUCACGCCGUUUACAAUCCGCUGAUAUUUAUCGCCAGGAACAAGGAAUUGAGAACGGCUCUAACGUGUCAAAUGUACAAAGGCUAAAUAACUGGGGAGCGUUUAAUUCGACAAAAACAAAAAAGGAAUCGCCGUCUAUUAUAUUUGAGGAGAAUUAAAUAUUCCAUUGUUCUUUUUCUAACGCACAGGAUGUAAUUUGCAACCUAUAUUUUUGUGAUUUACUGUUUAAUGUGAUAAAUUGGUCGCUUAUUAUCUCUGCGUGUUUGGAUUUGAGCGCUCAAAUGUCGUUUGUAUUCAAAACGAGACGUUGGUCGCCAACGGUUACUAAAUGUACACUGUAUCCUGUACAAAGGAAUAAAACAGCGUCAUUUGGCCGAGCAACCGUUUAUGUAGCUAAUACUCUAAUGACGUCAAUUGGGGCCUGUCGAUGACAUAGUAGGAAAUGGCGUGGGUGAUUUUUUUUAGUAGCCUAGACAAUUUGUAUCUAAUUAUUUGGUUAUCAUCCGAGCUAUAGGAAUCUCGGACAAUUUAGUGCUUAACUAAUUCGAGUGGAAAUGUGACGAAAUUCUGGUUGUCAAGUAAGUUUCAUACAAGACCCGUACGUUACCUGGAAUAGCCGAUCCUUCUUGGAGGAAAAGUGGCCAACAUAAGUUUCUAAUCUCUCCGAUCCGGACGAUGUCAUGGGAGUCGCAAUCUACAGGCUGUUACCAAGGACAUGGUAUCCGGAAACGUACCAGAUGUUGCUGGACCGAAACAGCUGCUGCCCGGGCUACACAAACUGUACGGAUUCACUCUGCCAAGGCUGUAUAAUCUCUUCUCUCCAUAGGCCAUCACUCCUUCAGCUAGAAAUGUACAAGAAUUGUUUAUUGAGCUGGUUAUAACGGUGGAUAAAUUCGGGAGCAAGAGUCC